RNAcentral lists this ribosomal RNA (2762 nucleotides) under Escherichia coli. RNAcentral describes it as "partial 23S ribosomal RNA". It matches the Rfam family "Bacterial large subunit ribosomal RNA". Lineage: Bacteria; Pseudomonadati; Pseudomonadota; Gammaproteobacteria; Enterobacterales; Enterobacteriaceae. The record is from RNAcentral. RNAcentral also lists the same sequence under 1 other name.
CACACUAUCAUUAACUGAAUCCAUAGGUUAAUGAGGCGAACCGGGGGAACUGAAACAUCUAAGUACCCCGAGGAAAAGAAAUCAACCGAGAUUCCCCCAGUAGCGGCGAGCGAACGGGGAGGAGCCCAGAGCCUGAAUCAGUGUGUGUGUUAGUGGAAGCGUCUGGAAAGGCGUGCGAUACAGGGUGACAGCCCCGUACACAAAAAUGCACAUAUUGUGAGCUCGAUGAGUAGGGCGGGACACGUGGUAUCCUGUCUGAAUAUGGGGGGACCAUCCUCCAAGGCUAAAUACUCCUGACUGACCGAUAGUGAACCAGUACCGUGAGGGAAAGGCGAAAAGAACCCCGGCGAGGGGAGUGAAAAAGAACCUGAAACCGUGUACGUACAAGCAGUGGGAGCCUCUUUAUGGGGUGACUGCGUACCUUUUGUAUAAUGGGUCAGCGACUUAUAUUCUGUAGCAAGGUUAACCGAAUAGGGGAGCCGAAGGGAAACCGAGUCUUAACUGGGCGUUAAGUUGCAGGGUAUAGACCCGAAACCCGGUGAUCUAGCCAUGGGCAGGUUGAAGGUUGGGUAACACUAACUGGAGGACCGAACCGACUAAUGUUGAAAAAUUAGCGGAUGACUUGUGGCUGGGGGUGAAAGGCCAAUCAAACCGGGAGAUAGCUGGUUCUCCCCGAAAGCUAUUUAGGUAGCGCCUCGUGAAUUCAUCUCCGGGGGUAGAGCACUGUUUCGGCAAGGGGGUCAUCCCGACUUACCAACCCGAUGCAAACUGCGAAUACCGGAGAAUGUUAUCACGGGAGACACACGGCGGGUGCUAACGUCCGUCGUGAAGAGGGAAACAACCCAGACCGCCAGCUAAGGUCCCAAAGUCAUGGUUAAGUGGGAAACGAUGUGGGAAGGCCCAGACAGCCAGGAUGUUGGCUUAGAAGCAGCCAUCAUUUAAAGAAAGCGUAAUAGCUCACUGGUCGAGUCGGCCUGCGCGGAAGAUGUAACGGGGCUAAACCAUGCACCGAAGCUGCGGCAGCGACACUAUGUGUUGUUGGGUAGGGGAGCGUUCUGUAAGCCUGUGAAGGUGGCCUGUGAGGGUUGCUGGAGGUAUCAGAAGUGCGAAUGCUGACAUAAGUAACGAUAAAGCGGGUGAAAAGCCCGCUCGCCGGAAGACCAAGGGUUCCUGUCCAACGUUAAUCGGGGCAGGGUGAGUCGACCCCUAAGGCGAGGCCGAAAGGCGUAGUCGAUGGGAAACAGGUUAAUAUUCCUGUACUUGGUGUUACUGCGAAGGGGGGACGGAGAAGGCUAUGUUGGCCGGGCGACGGUUGUCCCGGUUUAAGCGUGUAGGCUGGUUUUCCAGGCAAAUCCGGAAAACCAAGGCUGAGGCGUGAUGACGAGGCACUACGGUGCUGAAGCGACAAAUGCCCUGCUUCCAGGAAAAGCCUCUAAGCAUCAGGUAACAUCAAAUCGUACCCCAAACCGACACAGGUGGUCAGGUAGAGAAUACCAAGGCGCUUGAGAGAACUCGGGUGAAGGAACUAGGCAAAAUGGUGCCGUAACUUCGGGAGAAGGCACGCUGAUAUGUAGGUGAAGCGACUUGCUCGUGGAGCUGAAAUCAGUCGAAGAUACCAGCUGGCUGCAACUGUUUAUUAAAAACACAGCACUGUGCAAACACGAAAGUGGACGUAUACGGUGUGACGCCUGCCCGGUGCCGGAAGGUUAAUUGAUGGGGUUAGCGGUAACGCGAAGCUCUUGAUCGAAGCCCCGGUAAACGGCGGCCGUAACUAUAACGGUCCUAAGGUAGCGAAAUUCCUUGUCGGGUAAGUUCCGACCUGCACGAAUGGCGUAAUGAUGGCCAGGCUGUCUCCACCCGAGACUCAGUGAAAUUGAACUCGCUGUGAAGAUGCAGUGUACCCGCGGCAAGACGGAAAGACCCCGUGAACCUUUACUAUAGCUUGACACUGAACAUUGAGCCUUGAUGUGUAGGAUAGGUGGGAGGCUUUGAAGUGUGGACGCCAGUCUGCAUGGAGCCGACCUUGAAAUACCACCCUUUAAUGUUUGAUGUUCUAACGUUGGCCCGUAAUCCGGGUUGCGGACAGUGUCUGGUGGGUAGUUUGACUGGGGCGGUCUCCUCCUAAAGAGUAACGGAGGAGCACGAAGGUUGGCUAAUCCUGGUCGGACAUCAGGAGGUUAGUGCAAUGGCAUAAGCCAGCUUGACUGCGAGCGUGACGGCGCGAGCAGGUGCGAAAGCAGGUCAUAGUGAUCCGGUGGUUCUGAAUGGAAGGGCCAUCGCUCAACGGAUAAAAGGUACUCCGGGGAUAACAGGCUGAUACCGCCCAAGAGUUCAUAUCGACGGCGGUGUUUGGCACCUCGAUGUCGGCUCAUCACAUCCUGGGGCUGAAGUAGGUCCCAAGGGUAUGGCUGUUCGCCAUUUAAAGUGGUACGCGAGCUGGGUUUAGAACGUCGUGAGACAGUUCGGUCCCUAUCUGCCGUGGGCGCUGGAGAACUGAGGGGGGCUGCUCCUAGUACGAGAGGACCGGAGUGGACGCAUCACUGGUGUUCGGGUUGUCAUGCCAAUGGCACUGCCCGGUAGCUAAAUGCGGAAGAGAUAAGUGCUGAAAGCAUCUAAGCACGAAACUUGCCCCGAGAUGAGUUCUCCCUGACUCCUUGAGAGUCCUGAAGGAACGUUGAAGACGACGACGUUGAUAGGCCGGGUGUGUAAGCGCAGCGAUGCGUUGAGCUAACCGGUACUAAUGAACCGUGAGGCUUAACCUU